This 795-nucleotide unclassified non-coding RNA is filed under the name Aedes aegypti (yellow fever mosquito). RNAcentral's name for it is "external transcribed spacer (ETS)". Lineage: Eukaryota; Metazoa; Arthropoda; Insecta; Diptera; Culicidae. The record is from RNAcentral.
AGGGAGGAAGGCAGUGUGCGUGGACCGGUAGGAAAAUGUUCCGAAAGCAACGUUACCCUACUGGCCGAUGGUCUACAUACCGAGAACACACUGAACCGCAACCCGCGAUGGAUGAUGGGAGUUGGAAGGACGCUACCGCGCAAAGGCGACACCGAGGUGUGUACAACACCACUGGUAACGAUCUGUAUGCUCUGCGUUGGAUGAAUGAUGCGAUCGACGCACUGCACCGCACUGUCAGACCGGGAUGGGCUAGUAGCGUGCACGUCGUUCGGACAACACCAACGGGGCACAUCACCACCAGUGGCGGCACGCUUUUUCGCAGCAGCAAAGUCCAACCAGCAACCAGCACCAGACCGGCACGAGACGUUUGCACCGCGCGCUCCCACCGAAAGCACGGAGAGCAGGGCGCAGUGCAGGCGUGUCGUCUCCCGAACCGAGGGCCGUACAUGAAUGUCAUACGGCUACCACGCUAUGAUGGAAGGAUAGCGACAGUAGCAAGUAUUAUGACCCCGAAAUUCAAAAUAAAAACCGAUGGGAAGCUUUUGCCGAGUUUACUGCUGCACAAUCACCACCACCACCACCGGUGGCGAGAGUGCGCUGCGAACCGAGCUACGAAACGACGAGACCCCGCAAGGGCUCGCUAGGUUAAACGUUCUGGUGACGUUGUGAGGCGAAUGUGACGACUGCGUCUGGUAGUCAGCAAGCAAACACACACACACCCGUAAGCGAGAUCGGCCGUUCGUUCUGCCGUCGCAUACACACGUUGUUGUUGUUGUUGUUCUAUCCACGACGAGA